AACGCGAAGAACCUUACCUGGGCUCGAAGCGUAGUGGACUGGGGUAGAAAUAUCUCUUUCCCGCAAGGGACUGCUACGUAGGUGCUGCAUGGCUGUCGUCAGCUCGUGUCGUGAGGUGUUGGGUUAAGUCCCGCAACGAGCGCAACCCUCGUCGUGUGUUGGUCCGAAAGGAUCUCUCACGCGAGACCGCCGGUGAGAAGCCGGAGGAAGGUGGGGAUGACGUCAAGUCAGCAUGGCCCUUACGUCUGGGGCUACACACGUGCUACAAUGGGUGCGACAACGAGUUCCAAGCUCGCGAGGGUAAGGCAAUCUCUUAAACGCAUCCUCAGUUCGGAUUGAAGGCUGCAACUCGCCUUCAUGAAGUCGGAAUCGCUAGUAAACGCAGAUCAGCUACGCUGCGUUGAAUACGUUCCCGGGCCUUGUACACACCGCCCGU
Molecule: ribosomal RNA, 436 nt
Filed under: uncultured bacterium
Lineage: Bacteria
Description: bacterial SSU rRNA
Rfam family: Bacterial small subunit ribosomal RNA
Source: RNAcentral